CUGGCUCAGGAUGAACGCUGGCGGCGUGCCUAAUACAUGCAAGUCGAACGAAACUUCUUUAUCACCGAGUGCUUGCACUCACCGAUAAAGAGUUGAGUGGCGAACGGGUGAGUAACACGUGGGCAACCUGCCCAAAAGAGGGGGAUAACACUUGGAAACAGGUGCUAAUACCGCAUAACCAUAGUUACCGCAUGGUAACUAUGUAAAAGGUGGCUAUGCUACCGCUUUUGGAUGGGCCCGCGGCGCAUUAGCUAGUUGGUGAGGUAAAGGCUUACCAAGGCAAUGAUGCGUAGCCGAACUGAGAGGUUGAUCGGCCACAUUGGGACUGAGACACGGCCCAAACUCCUACGGGAGGCAGCAGUAGGGAAUCUUCCACAAUGGGCGAAAGCCUGAUGGAGCAACGCCGCGUGGGUGAAGAAGGUCUUCGGAUCGUAAAACCCUGUUGUUAGAGAAGAAAGUGCGUGAGAGUAACUGUUCACGUUUCGACGGUAUCUAACCAGAAAGCCACGGCUAACUACGUGCCAGCAGCCGCGGUAAUACGUAGGUGGCAAGCGUUAUCCGGAUUUAUUGGGCGUAAAGGGAACGCAGGCGGUCUUUUAAGUCUGAUGUGAAAGCCUUCGGCUUAACCGGAGUAGUGCAUUGGAAACUGGGAGACUUGAGUGCAGAAGAGGAGAGUGGAACUCCAUGUGUAGCGGUGAAAUGCGUAGAUAUAUGGAAGAACACCAGUGGCGAAAGCGGCUCUCUGGUCUGUAACUGACGCUGAGGUUCGAAAGCGUGGGUAGCAAACAGGAUUAGAUACCCUGGUAGUCCACGCCGUAAACGAUGAAUGCUAAGUGUUGGAGGGUUUCCGCCCUUCAGUGCUGCAGCUAACGCAAUAAGCAUUCCGCCUGGGGAGUACGACCGCAAGGUUGAAACUCAAAGGAAUUGACGGGGGCCCGCACAAGCGGUGGAGCAUGUGGUUUAAUUCGAAGCAACGCGAAGAACCUUACCAGGUCUUGACAUCUUCUGACAAUCCUAGAGAUAGGACUUUCCCUUCGGGGACAGAAUGACAGGUGGUGCAUGGUUGUCGUCAGCUCGUGUCGUGAGAUGUUGGGUUAAGUCCCGCAACGAGCGCAACCCUUAUUGUUAGUUGCCAGCAUUAAGUUGGGCACUCUAGCAAGACUGCCGGUGACAAACCGGAGGAAGGUGGGGAUGACGUCAAAUCAUCAUGCCCCUUAUGACCUGGGCUACACACGUGCUACAAUGGACGGUACAACGAGUCGCAAGACCGCGAGGUUUAGCAAAUCUCUUAAAGCCGUUCUCAGUUCGGAUUGUAGGCUGCAACUCGCCUACAUGAAGUCGGAAUCGCUAGUAAUCGCGGAUCAGCAUGCCGCGGUGAAUACGUUCCCGGGCCUUGUACACACCGCCCGUCACACCAUGAGAGUUUGUAACACCCAAAGCCGGUGGGGUAACCUUUUGGAGCCAGCCGUCUAAGGUGGGACAGAUGAUUGGGGUGAAGUCGUA
This 1503-nucleotide ribosomal RNA is filed under the name Ligilactobacillus animalis. Its description in RNAcentral is "Lactobacillus animalis partial 16S rRNA". It matches the Rfam family "Bacterial small subunit ribosomal RNA". The record is from RNAcentral. Lineage: Bacteria; Bacillati; Bacillota; Bacilli; Lactobacillales; Lactobacillaceae.